Molecule: microRNA precursor, 122 nt
Filed under: Gossypium hirsutum (cotton)
Lineage: Eukaryota; Viridiplantae; Streptophyta; Magnoliopsida; Malvales; Malvaceae
Description: MIR7504 microRNA precursor family
Rfam family: MIR7504 microRNA precursor family
Source: Rfam by way of RNAcentral
AAUAGGAGAAUGACAAAUUAGAUUUUUCCUCCUGAUUGUCCGCUUUGUACUCUUGAAAAAAUUCAAAUUUAACUAAAAAUAUUAAAAAUUAGAGGAAAAAUCUUAUUUGACAUUCUCCUAUU